CGACGCUUGGACAUAGUUCGGAUCAGGAACCAGGUCGGGCAAACCUGAAAAAAUGAAAAAACUGCUCAUCUGACAUCAUUACACAUUCAACACUAUGACAGAUUAUGAUCAUAUCUGCUCAAGCUAUAUUCGAAGUGAUCCAAAUGUCAGCACUGUCAGGUCCUUGUUAGCAUGUUGGUCAUAAUCUUUUAUGAUCUGUGAAAUAUGUUGGUGCUGACUGAGGAUGUGAAGGGCAAAAACUGAGCAACAGGACCCAAUGUUCAAGUCUGGAUCAGAUCAGAAACAAGCUGAAACACCAGAAAGCAUUUGCCUGGCAUUUCACACCCAGGUGAGUCUUCCUCCCUUAGCUGCAACUUUAAAUGCAGCCUUUUCCACUGCAGGCUCUGUGUAAACUGCCAAUCUGACAUGUCUAUCUGAGGCUGACAUAUAGGGCAGGAGGAAGCUUCCUGGAGCAGACCAUGUAAACACUGUACACCAGUGUGAAAGACUGAGGUUUCCAAGCAUCACUCGCAAUCCAAUUUUUUGUCUCCUCUCCAGAACGCUUGGUUCUCUGUCCUCUGAUCUUUUGAAAUGUGAAAGUGGGUCUCUUUCAGACAUAUAAAGUGCAUUGAGAAGCCAAAGCUGAUUAGCC
Long non-coding RNA from Girardinichthys multiradiatus, 631 nucleotides. RefSeq lists it as uncharacterized. The transcript has 3 exons. The record is from RefSeq and is a predicted model, not a curated record. NCBI's taxonomy places the organism in Eukaryota, Metazoa, Chordata, Actinopteri, Cyprinodontiformes, Goodeidae.